CUGAGAACAAAUAAAAGGUAAUAAAGAUUAUCUCUAUAUUCAAUCUUAGUGAUAUUAAAGAAAUUGAGUUCAUCUACUGUAUCAGCUCCGCAUCCCACAACCGAGCCGUGUCUUCUCCGCUGCGUCCGAAAACAGGACAGUGUCUGGCCCAAAGAAGGGUGUCCGACACCGUCUCGCGCACGCUCCCGCUGAGUCUCCGUGUCGGCACCGCGUCGGAAGCUGAGAAGCACGGCCUCCGAGCCGUGUCGGAGCUUCACUUAAUCUAUUUAUACUCCAUCGAACGGUGAAGGGAACUUGCAGAGUAAUGCAUUCAUUUAUCGGAGAUAUCAGGUUCAGGUUUUGAUCAAAUAUUUCAUUGAUGGGCACCUACUGCAAUAAUAACCUAGUGUGCGACUUGUAUUACCCACACUACUCAAUAACCAAUCGUGGUGUUCUGUCUAGAAGAAACUCGUCAUGCCAAAACCCAAUUUAUUUUGGUUUCCACAAACACCGUUUUGGUUCAGUACUAGCUGGUAUUGGUAUGGAGGAAGUUGUUAAAGAAGUGAAUGGAGAAAAUGAAAGAAGGUUUAAGUGGAUUGAGAUUGGCAAAAAGGUCACAAUAGAACAACGACAGGCCAUAUCUGAACUUCCUUUCAGGAUGUCCAAUCGAAGCAAAGCCUUGAUGAGACAGAUUAUAUGUUUUUCUGCAGAGAAAGGCACCAUAUCUGAUCUUUUGGAAUCAUGGGUGAGGAUUAUGAACCCUAUCAGAGCAGACUGGCUUUCAGUUCUGAAAGAGUUGAGAAUGAUGGAACAUCCUGUUUACCUUGAGGUUGCAAAACAUGCUCUUCAAGAAGAAUCAUUUGAAGUGAAUAUUCGUGACUAUACCAAGAUAAUCCAUUAUUAUGGCAAGCACAAUCUACUAGAAGAUGCUGAAAAUUUUCUCACACUCAUGAAGGAAAGGGGUUUCAUCUAUGAUCAAGUAAUUCUCACUACCAUGGUGCACAUGUACAGCAAGGCUGGCCAUCAUGACCGGGCCAAGGAGUAUUUUGAAGAGAUCAGAUUGCUUGGUGAACCUUUGGAUAAAAGAUCAUAUGGCGCAAUGAUCAUGGCCUACAUCAGAGCUGGAAUGCCUGAAGAAGGAGAGAAUUUACUUCAAGAAAUGGAGACACAAGAAAUAACCGCAGGCAGUGAGGUUUAUAAGGCACUGCUUCGAGCGUACUCUUUAAUUGGCAAUGCUGAAGGUGCACAAAGGGUGUUUGAUGCAAUUCAAUUGGCUGGUAUCACCCCAAAUGAUAAGAUGUGUAGUUUGGUUGUUAAUGCUUAUGCAAUGACUGGACAAAGUCAAAAGGCUCUAAUUGCAUUUGAAAAUAUGAGAAAAGCAAGUAUCAAACCCACUGAUAAAUGCAUAGCUUCAGUAUUGGUUGCUUAUGAGAAGGAAGGCAAAAUAAAUACAGCAUUGGAAUUUCUACUAGAUUUGGAGAAAGAUGGCAUCAUGGUUGGGGAAGAAGCCUCUGCAGUAUUAGCUAAGUGGUUCCGAAAACUAGGGGUGGUGGAAGAGGUGGAGCUUGUUUUAAGAGACUUUGCCACCGUCACCAGAUAAGUUAAUGUAGAAGUUACUGCAUAUUAUUUAUUUGAAGUUCUGUGGAUCAAUUUUAACUGUUUUGAAAAUGAAUUAAUAUGCAAUGCAAUGAAUAUUUGAACUGUUCUGGAAAUGGUUCUUUGAUGAAAGUUACUCGAUGCAUUGGUACUCUAGCUUUGAGAUAUCAUGAACAUUAUGCAAUAUGCACUGAAUUUCUCCUGUUUUUCCAUCCCUGAUCAAGCCACCAGAGCUAAUAUGCUGGAUAUAAAGAUAAGGAACCAAUGUAAACCUUAUCCUUUAUCACUGCAUUUCUCGAGGUUGAAAAUUCUAAAGUGCAAUCUCUUCAAUGGGUACAAUGAAGGGUGAACAGUUAUAUCUCCCUUUUGGAUUAUGAUGCUCCAGCAGAAAGAUAUGUGCUCUAGCCAAAUCAUCCACAUGAACCAUAUGGUAACGAAUCACUCCAAUUUCUUCCUUUUUGCC
RNA transcript from Vigna radiata var. radiata (mung bean), 2038 nucleotides. It is a transcript of the gene named pentatricopeptide repeat-containing protein At1g01970, with no coding region annotated. The transcript is spliced from 5 exons. Lineage: Eukaryota; Viridiplantae; Streptophyta; Magnoliopsida; Fabales; Fabaceae. The record is from RefSeq and is a predicted model, not a curated record.